AUGCAUCAGGAAACAAGCCAGGAAGAGACUGUGGAUCCAGAAGCAGGCGAGUUCGGAGAGGCCUCCCUGAAGGCAUAGGGCACACUAGGAGAGUAUAAGGUAGUGGGUCCUAUCCGCCCACCCCCAAAUGCCACACACCGCCCCUCUACCUCAUGCGAAUCUUUGCACCUAAUCAUGUCGUCUCAAAGUCCAGCUUCUGGUACUUCGUAUCUCAAUUAAACAAGAUGAAGAAGUUUUCAGGGGAGAUUGCCUACUCUGGGCGGGUGUUUGAGAAGUCCCCUCUGCGGGUGAAGUACUUCCGCAUCUGGCUGCGCUGUGACUCCCUGAGCCGCACCCACAACCUUUAUCGGGAAUACCAGCACCUGACCACCGCGGGCGCUGUCACCCAGUGCUACCGAGUCUUGAGCGCCCCGCACUGCGACCAGGCCCACUCCAUCCAGAUCAUGAAGGUGGAGGAAGAUCGCAGCCGGCAAGUGCAGCCGCCGUCCUUUAAGCAGUUCCACGACUCCAAGGUCAAGUUCCCGCUGCCCCACCGGGUCCUGCGCCGUCAGCACAAGCCACGCUUCACCACCAAGAGGCCCAACACCUUCUUCUAGAUGCAGGGCCCUCGCCCAGAUGUGCCCCAAAUAAAAUCGGGAAGGCCAAAAAA
This is an RNA transcript of Cercocebus atys (sooty mangabey), 649 nucleotides long. It is a transcript of the gene named 60S ribosomal protein L18a pseudogene, with no coding region annotated. NCBI's taxonomy places the organism in Eukaryota, Metazoa, Chordata, Mammalia, Primates, Cercopithecidae. The record is from RefSeq and is a predicted model, not a curated record. The transcript has 2 exons.